UAAAACGUUCUCGUUAUGACAUUUAUUUCUAAAUUAAGAGACUAGAAACUAAGUCUGGUGGCUGAUCAAUCGUGGCCGUUAGACCAGAGAGUGAUUAACAGUAGCCUCCACGGCCUUCGGGUUGUGGUGCCGUUGAUGAUCGUUUUUAGCUCAUAUCAUGGUGUUGAGAUGGUCUAAUGGUUGUCUAACAAAUU
RNAcentral lists this small nucleolar RNA (194 nucleotides) under Solanum tuberosum (potato). Its description in RNAcentral is "snoRNA Plant_U3". Lineage: Eukaryota; Viridiplantae; Streptophyta; Magnoliopsida; Solanales; Solanaceae. The record is from RNAcentral.